AAGUCAGAUGUGAAAGCCCCGGGCUUAACCUGGGAACUGCAUUUGAAACUGGUCAACUAGAGUAUGGUAGAGGAAAGUGGAAUUUCUGGUGUAGCGGUGAAAUGCGUAGAUAUCAGAAGGAACAUCAAUGGCGAAGGCAGCUUUCUGGACCAAUACUGACGCUGAGGUACGAAAGCGUGGGUAGCAAACAGGAUUAGAUACCCUGGUAGUCCACGCCGUAAACGAUGAUAACUAGCCGUUGGGGGGAUUUACCCUUUAGUGGCGAAGCUAACGCGUUAAGUUAUCCGCCUGGGGAGUACGGCCGCAAGGUUAAAACUCAAAUGAAUUGACGG
This 332-nucleotide ribosomal RNA is filed under the name uncultured bacterium. RNAcentral describes it as "bacterial SSU rRNA". It matches the Rfam family "Bacterial small subunit ribosomal RNA", at positions 585 to 916 of the family's 1533-position model. The record is from RNAcentral.